Molecule: long non-coding RNA, 291 nt
Filed under: Ornithorhynchus anatinus (platypus)
Lineage: Eukaryota; Metazoa; Chordata; Mammalia; Monotremata; Ornithorhynchidae
Description: lncRNA (ENSOANG00000044901.1)
Source: RNAcentral
AUGACUCGUGUGGAAUGGGCAGGCCAGCGACUUCCAGAAGUGGUAACAGAUGAAAUACCCUGGGGGAUUCAAGAAGGAACUGGAAAAGGAACUGGAAGGCAGGGAUUAGCUCGAUGUUCUGAUGGCCGGCGGAGAUCUGAAUCUGGAAGAACGCACCCUCGUCCCUAUUUUCCAAUAUGGACGGCGUUGAGGAGGUUGAUGACCGGGGCCAGGCGUCCUUGGAAAACUACAAGAUUAAGGUGCUUACAGUCUGAAGGGGGAACACACGAGGUGUUUCGGGACCCCCACAGA